GAUGAACGCUGGCGGCGUGCCUAAUACAUGCAAGUCGAGCGAACAGACGAGGAGCUUGCUCCUUUGACGUUAGCGGCGGACGGGUGAGUAACACGUAGGUAACCUACCUAUAAGACUGGGAUAACUUCGGGAAACCGGAGCUAAUACCGGAUAAUAUUUCGAACCGCAUGGUUCGAUAGUGAAAGAUGGCUUUGCUAUCACUUAUAGAUGGACCUGCGCCGUAUUAGCUAGUUGGUAAGGUAACGGCUUACCAAGGCAACGAUACGUAGCCGACCUGAGA
This 280-nucleotide ribosomal RNA is filed under the name uncultured bacterium. RNAcentral's name for it is "partial 16S ribosomal RNA". It matches the Rfam family "Bacterial small subunit ribosomal RNA", at positions 28 to 297 of the family's 1533-position model. The record is from RNAcentral.